CUAGCAUUCACCGUAAGAAGUUGAGUGGCGGACGGGUGAGUAACACGUGGGUAACCUGCCUAAAAGAAGGGGAUAACACUUGGAAACAGGUGCUAAUACCGUAUAUCUCUAAGGAUCGCAUGAUCCUUAGAUGAAAGAUGGUUCUGCUAUCGCUUUUAGAUGGACCCGCGGCGUAUUAACUAGUUGGUGGGGUAACGGCCUACCAAGGUGAUGAUACGUAGCCGAACUGAGAGGUUGAUCGGCCACAUUGGGACUGAGACACGGCCCAAACUCCUACGGGAGGCAGCAGUAGGGAAUCUUCCACAAUGGACGCAAGUCUGAUGGAGCAACGCCGCGUGAGUGAAGAAGGUCUUCGGAUCGUAAAACUCUGUUGUUAGAGAAGAACACGAGUGAGAGUAACUGUUCAUUCGAUGACGGUAUCUAACCAGCAAGUCACGGCUAACUACGUGCCAGCAGCCGCGGUAAUACGUAGGUGGCAAGCGUUGUCCGGAUUUAUUGGGCGUAAAGGGAACGCAGGCGGUCUUUUAAGUCUGAUGUGAAAGCCUUCGGCUUAACCGGAGUAGUGCAUUGGAAACUGGAAGACUUGAGUGCAGAAGAGGAGAGUGGAACUCCAUGUGUAGCGGUGAAAUGCGUAGAUAUAUGGAAGAACACCAGUGGCGAAAGCGGCUCUCUGGUCUGUAACUGACGCUGAGGUUCGAAAGCGUGGGUAGCAAACAGGAUUAGAUACCCUGGUAGUCCACGCCGUAAACGAUGAAUGCUAGGUGUUGGAGGGUUUCCGCCCUUCAGUGCCGCAGCUAACGCAAUAAGCAUUCCGCCUGGGGAGUACGACCGCAAGGUUGAAACUCAAAGGAAUUGACGGGGGCCCGCAC
This 869-nucleotide ribosomal RNA is filed under the name Ligilactobacillus salivarius. RNAcentral describes it as "bacterial SSU rRNA". It matches the Rfam family "Bacterial small subunit ribosomal RNA", at positions 67 to 926 of the family's 1533-position model. The record is from RNAcentral. Lineage: Bacteria; Bacillati; Bacillota; Bacilli; Lactobacillales; Lactobacillaceae.